CGCCUUGCGAUAUGUAAUGUGACUUGCAGAAUUCAGUGAAUCAUCGAAUCUUUGAACGCACAUUGCA
Molecule: ribosomal RNA, 67 nt
Filed under: uncultured Clavariaceae
Lineage: Eukaryota; Fungi; Basidiomycota; Agaricomycetes; Agaricales; Clavariaceae
Description: partial 5.8S ribosomal RNA
Rfam family: 5.8S ribosomal RNA
About the family: 5.8S ribosomal RNA (5.8S rRNA) is a component of the large subunit of the eukaryotic ribosome. It is transcribed by RNA polymerase I as part of the 45S precursor that also contains 18S and 28S rRNA. Functionally, it is thought that 5.8S rRNA may be involved in ribosome translocation.
Source: RNAcentral